RNAcentral lists this ribosomal RNA (253 nucleotides) under uncultured bacterium. RNAcentral describes it as "partial 16S ribosomal RNA". It matches the Rfam family "Bacterial small subunit ribosomal RNA", at positions 524 to 776 of the family's 1533-position model. The record is from RNAcentral.
UACGUAGGGGGCAAGCGUUAUCCGGAUUUACUGGGUGUAAAGGGAGCGUAGACGGCAUAGCAAGUCUGAAGUGAAAGCCCGUGGCUCAACCGCGGAACUGCUUUGGAAACUGUUAAGCUGGAGUACUGGAGAGGCAAGCGGAAUUCCUAGUGUAGCGGUGAAAUGCGUAGAUAUUAGGAGGAACACCAGUGGCGAAGGCGGCUUGCUGGACAGAGACUGGCGUUGAGGCUCGAAAGCGUGGGGAGCAAACAGG